This 402-nucleotide ribosomal RNA is filed under the name uncultured bacterium. Its description in RNAcentral is "bacterial SSU rRNA". It matches the Rfam family "Bacterial small subunit ribosomal RNA", at positions 29 to 423 of the family's 1533-position model. The record is from RNAcentral.
AACGAACGCUGGCGGCGCGCCUAACACAUGCAAGUCGAACGAGAAGGCGUAGCAAUACGCUUGUAAAGUGGCGAACGGGUGAGGAAUACGUGGGUAACCUACCCUCGAGUGGGGAAUAACCAACCGAAAGGUUGGCUAAUGCCGCGUACGCUUCCAUCUCUUCGGAGGUGGAAGGAAAGCUGUACCGUGGGUACAGCGCUCAAGGAUGGGCUCACGUCCUAUCAGCUUGUUGGUAGGGAACGGCCUACCAAGGCAACGACGGGUAGCUGGUCUGAGAGGACGAUCAGCCACACUGGCACUGCGACACGGGCCAGACUCCUACGGGAGCAGCAGUGAGGAAUAUUGCGCAAUGGGCGAAAGCCUGACGCAGCGACGCCGCGUGGGGGAUGAAGGUCUUCGGAC